GCACAAGCGGUGGAUCAUGUUGUUUAAUUCGAUGAUACGCGAAGAACCUUACCAGGUCUUGACAUCCCCCGCGAUGCUUUAGAGAUAAAGCGGAGGUAUUCGGGGAGACAGGUGGUGCAUGGUUGUCGUCAGCUCGUGUCGUGAGAUGUUGGGUUAAGUCCCGCAACGAGCGCAACCCCUAUUGCUAGUUACCAUCAUUAAGUUGGGGACUCUAGCGAGACUGCCAGUGAUAAACUGGAGGAAGGUGGGGAUGACGUCAAAUCAUCAUGCCCCUUAUGACCUGGGCUACAAACGUGAUACAAUGGCUGGAACAAAGGGAUGCGAAGCAGUGAUGUGGAGCGAAACCCAUAAAAACAGUCUCAGUUCGGAUUGAAGUCUGCAACUCGACUUCAUGAAGUCGGAAUCGCUAGUAAUCGCGGAUCAGAACGCCGCGGUGAAUACGUUCUCGGGGUUU
Molecule: ribosomal RNA, 454 nt
Filed under: uncultured Acholeplasma sp.
Lineage: Bacteria; Bacillati; Mycoplasmatota; Mollicutes; Acholeplasmatales; Acholeplasmataceae
Description: bacterial SSU rRNA
Rfam family: Bacterial small subunit ribosomal RNA
Source: RNAcentral